RNAcentral lists this ribosomal RNA (55 nucleotides) under Pestalotiopsis gracilis. RNAcentral describes it as "partial 18S ribosomal RNA". It matches the Rfam family "Eukaryotic small subunit ribosomal RNA", at positions 1777 to 1831 of the family's 1831-position model. Lineage: Eukaryota; Fungi; Ascomycota; Sordariomycetes; Amphisphaeriales; Sporocadaceae. The record is from RNAcentral.
CUGAAGUAAAAGUCGUAACAAGGUCUCCGUUGGUGAACCAGCGGAGGGAUCAUUA